CCUACGGGAGGCAGCAGUGGGGAAUAUUGCACAAUGGGGGAAACCCUGAUGCAGCGACGCCGCGUGAGUGAAGAAGUAUUUCGGUACGUAAAGCUCUAUCAGCAGGGAAGAAAAUUACGGUACCUGACUAAGAAGCCCCGGCUAACUCCGUGCCAGCAGCCGCGGUCAUACGUAGGGGGCACGCGUUAUCCGGAUUUACUGGGUGUAAAGGGAGCGUAGACGGCAGCGCAAGUCUGGAGUGAAAUCCCAUGGCUUAACCAUGGAACUGCUUUGGAAACUGUGCAGCUAGAGUGCAGGAGAGGUAAGCGGAAUUCCUAGUGUAGCGGUGAAAUGCGUAGAUAUUAGGAGGAACACCAGUGGCGAAGGCAGCAUACCGGGGCACAACUGACGCUCAGGCACGAAAGCGUGGGUAUCGAACAGGAUUAGAUACCCGAGUAGUC
Molecule: ribosomal RNA, 440 nt
Filed under: uncultured bacterium
Lineage: Bacteria
Description: partial 16S ribosomal RNA
Rfam family: Bacterial small subunit ribosomal RNA
Source: RNAcentral